RNAcentral lists this long non-coding RNA (1244 nucleotides) under Homo sapiens (human). RNAcentral describes it as "HSALNT0251447". Lineage: Eukaryota; Metazoa; Chordata; Mammalia; Primates; Hominidae. The record is from RNAcentral.
CUUGUAAAUUCUAAUUAUAACACAAAAUCACUGUAACUUUUACUUCCUUUCUUUUUUAGUUUUUUAAGCAAUAAUAUACUGCUGGCUCAUUUUUGACCAUUGAUAAAUUAUGGUAGUUGAGAAUCAAGUUAUAUAGUAACAGUAACUAUUUUCCUUUCCUUAGAUCAUUUGGGUGAUAAAAAGCAGCCCAGUGACUCCUCCAUCCAUAGAAAUCGAGUGUUGCUGUGUUGCCUAGGCUGGCCUCUAACUCCUGCCUCAAGAGAUCCUCCUGCCUCAGCCUCCCAAGUAGCUGGGACUAUACAAGUGCACAACACCAAACCAGAUCAUUAAAAUGUAAUACUCAUGAUCCAGCAUUCUCAAAGGAAAGCUUACAUUUACACACAACUGUAAGGUCACAUUUACAUUUUUAAAAGAAAAUGAUAGCAUAUAACUUUAUAUAUCUAAGAGUAAUUCUUUGCUAGACAUUAGUAUUUCUUCCUUAAUCACUGGAUUAAGUGAUUAAACACUUCCUUGAUCAGUGUUUCUCAAACUUUUUUUUUUUUAACUACAUUCACAUCAAGAAAUACAUUUCCCCCUGUGAUCCAGUACAUGUACAGAUAUACAUGCACAAACACACACACACGUAAAUACACACACACUACUGAAACAAAAGUUUCACAAAACAAUAUUUGUUAUUGUAUUAAUUCCUUACACCUUAUACAAAAAUUAAUUCAAGAUGUAUUAAAGACGUAAAUGUUAGACCUAAAACCAUAAAAACCCUGGGAGAAAACCUAGGCAUUACCAUUCAGGACAUAGGCAUGGGCAAGGACUUCAUGUCCUAGAACACCAAAAGCAAUGGCAACAAAAGCCAAAAUUGACAAAUGGGAUCUAAUUAAACUAAAGAGCUUCUGCACAGCAAAAGAAACUACCAUCAGAAUGAACAGGCAACCUACAGAAUGGGAGAAAAUGUUUGCAACCUACUCAUCUGACAAAGGGCUAAUAUCCAGAAUCUACAAUGAACUCAAACAAAUAUACAAGAAAAAAACAAACAACACCAUCAAAAAGUGGGCAAAGGAUAGGAACAGACACUUCUCAAAAGAAGACUUUUAUGCAGCCAAAAAACACAUGAAAAAAUGCUCACCAUCACUGGCCAUCAGACAAAUGCAAAUCAAAACCACAAUGAGAUACCAUCUCACACCAGUUAGAAUGGCGAUCAUUCAAAAGUCAGGAAACAAUGGGUGCUGGAGAGGAUGUGGAGAAAUAGG